CUGGCGGCGUGCCUACACAUGCAAGUCGAGCGAUUUACUUCGGUAAAGAGCGGCGGACGGGUGAGUAACGCGUGGGUAACCUGCCUCAUACACAUGGAUAACAUACCGAAAGGUAUGCUAAUACAGGAUAAUAUAAGAGAUUCACAUGGAUUUCUUAUCAAAGCUCCGGCGGUAUGAGAUGGACCCGCGUCUGAUUAGCUAGUUGGUAAGGUAAUGGCUUACCAAGGCGACGAUCAGUAGCCGACCUGAGAGGGUGAUCGGCCACAUUGGAACUGAGACACGGUCCAAACUCCUACGGGAGGCAGCAGUGGGGAAUAUUGCACAAUGGGCGAAAGCCUGAUGCAGCAACGCCGCGUGAGUGAUGAAGGCCUUCGGGUCGUAAAACUCUGUCCUCAAGGAAGAUAAUGACGGUACUUGAGGAGGAAGCCCCGGCUAACUACGUGCCAGCAGCCGCGGUAAUACGUAGGGGGCUAGCGUUAUCCGGAUUUACUGGGCGUAAAGGGUGCGUAGGUGGUUUUUUAAGUCAGGAGUGAAAGGCUACGGCUCAACCGUAGUAAGCUCUUGAAACUGGGAAACUUGAGUGCAGGAGAGGAAAGUGGAAUUCCUAGUGUAGCGGUGAAAUGCGUAGAUAUUAGGAGGAAC
RNAcentral lists this ribosomal RNA (642 nucleotides) under Terrisporobacter glycolicus. Its description in RNAcentral is "bacterial SSU rRNA". It matches the Rfam family "Bacterial small subunit ribosomal RNA", at positions 36 to 707 of the family's 1533-position model. Lineage: Bacteria; Bacillati; Bacillota; Clostridia; Peptostreptococcales; Peptostreptococcaceae. The record is from RNAcentral.